ACAGUAUGUUCUGGCGACCAAUCAUAUUUGAAUGUUACCCCACACACGGUGGCGCGGGGAUCCUGUCUCUUACGGAGAACCUAGGAGAAAGCCCCGCCCUUCAGGGCGGGGAGGAUGUCAAUCGAAUCCAACUC
This 134-nucleotide unclassified non-coding RNA is filed under the name Halogranum amylolyticum. RNAcentral's name for it is "HgcC family RNA". The record is from RNAcentral. Lineage: Archaea; Methanobacteriati; Methanobacteriota; Halobacteria; Halobacteriales; Haloferacaceae.